GGCCUGUUGAUUUUAAUUUUAGGUCAGGCCUGCCCAAUGAGUUUUUAAUGGCCGCGGUAUAUUGACCGUGCAAAGGUAGCAUAAUUAAUAGUUUUUUAAUUGGAAGCUUGUAUGAAAGGUUUGAUGAGAAAAUUUCUGUCUCUAAAAAAAUUUAUUAGAAUUUUAUUUUUAAGUUAAAAAGCUUAAAUUUAUAUAGAAGACGAGAAGACCCUAUAGAGUUUUAUAUUUAUUUAAAUAAUUAAAUUAAAGGAUUAAAAAUUUAUUUGUUUAUUUGAGUAUUUUGUUGGGGUGAUAGAAAAAUUAAUUGAACUUUUUUUAAAUGUGAACAUUGAUGUGUGAUAUUGUGAUCCUAGAGUUUAGAUUAUAAGAUUAAAUUACCUUAGGGAUAACAGCGUAAUUUUUUUUAGAGUUCUUAUCGAAUAAAAAGAUUGCGACCUCGAUGUUGGAUUAAAAUUAAUUAGUGGUGUAGAGGCUAUAUUGAUUAGGUCUGUUCGACCUUUAAAAUUUUACAUGAUCUGAGUUUAGACCGGCGUGAG
RNAcentral lists this ribosomal RNA (536 nucleotides) under Trigonopterus sp. 782 AR-2022a. RNAcentral's name for it is "partial large subunit ribosomal RNA". It matches the Rfam family "Bacterial large subunit ribosomal RNA", at positions 1816 to 2625 of the family's 2925-position model. Lineage: Eukaryota; Metazoa; Arthropoda; Insecta; Coleoptera; Curculionidae. The record is from RNAcentral.